This is a non-coding RNA of Podarcis lilfordi (Lilford's wall lizard), 114 nucleotides long. The record is from the annotation of a GenBank genome assembly. Lineage: Eukaryota; Metazoa; Chordata; Lepidosauria; Squamata; Lacertidae.
UUGGGCUAUGGCGACAUGUACCCCAAAACCUGGUCGGGCAUGCUGGUGGGGGCUCUUUGUGCACUGGCAGGGGUGCUUACCAUUGCCAUGCCUGUCCCAGUUAUUGUCAACAAU